Molecule: long non-coding RNA, 2870 nt
Organism: Chenopodium quinoa (quinoa)
Lineage: Eukaryota; Viridiplantae; Streptophyta; Magnoliopsida; Caryophyllales; Amaranthaceae
Exons: 2
Source: RefSeq, a predicted model, not a curated record
UUAUUUUUUUGUGAUAAUUUGAGUAAUUAGUACUAGUAUUAUUAGGUAAUAUUAGUUAUUUUUGUGAAUUUGCUGUGUUUUUUUUUUUUUUAAAUUUCAGAUUUUUAAGUUUAUCGAGCAUGAAAUGUGUUGUAAGUGUCGUGAGUGAGUCUCGUGAGUAUUUAUAUACGAAGGGUAAAUACGGAAUUUCAAGGAAAAAAUGCGAGCGACGCCUAGUAAUUUGGGAGCGACGUUUAACAACCCCCUUGUUUACCUUUCAAUAUCUCUGAAAGAUAUUCUGGCAUCAUCUUCCUCAUUUUCUUUGCAAUUAUAACAUCAAGUGAAUUGCUUUUGUUGCUAAUUUUAUUUAGUAAAUCCUUGAUAGUAAGUUGGGUUAUAAUUCUUGUUUUGUUUGAGCGUUGAUGCAAUCACAUAUGAACAGUAAAGCUUGUUUAGCAUCCAGAUUUUUAAGCUUGAUUAGUGACAUCUUGUUUGUAAGUUUGGUGCAUAUUAUACUUUUGGCUAUGUUACCUGGAUUCAUAUAUUCAUGUACGACUAGGCUAUUUAAUGAAGAAUUUCAAUGACUAUGGCUCAAAAUGAAGUGUCCAAGUGUCUAUAUCCACGUCCAAGUGUUAAAGACUUUUGGUUAUCUUGUUGGUUUCAAGGUAGUGUUGCAGAUUUUUAUUUUACUCGUGUUGGCUUGGCUUGGAUCAAAAUGUGUGAUAUUUGAUAUAUCUUGCCAAAGAACAGUAUUGAACUUGAAAGUUAUGGAUACAUCUGUUGUAGUAAAAUGGAAGCUUAGGAUGUAUACAAAGAGUUUAAUUCUGUAAUCCCUAAAAAGGGAGGAGCCUGGUUACUGUUCAUUUGAACGAUGCCAUUUCUCUUUUUCCCUCACUUUUAUAGUACUUAUGUGUUGUUGCUUGGAUGCACGUGUUCCCCUCUUUCUUGUUGUUUUCUUGGUUCUUCCUUCUCCUUCUCUCAAAUGGCGAUUGUACGACAUCUUCUUUUCAUUUCUCCUCCUCUUCUACCUUUAUUGGUGCUUGUAUGGAUCUUUGGCUUGCGGUUUUGCUUGUAGGGAGUAAACCUUCUACCUCGGCAGGUCAUGCACAGUUGACAUUGUAUUGUGGGCCAUCUAUACUUGCUUGUGUGGUUUUCAUAUGGUAUUUACGCCUCAUCUAUAUCCUCCACUUGUUGAGACCAUUUUACCCCCUUGCUCAAAGACACUUUUUAUCCACACGACUUUGGAUAAUCAUCAGGUACAUAAUAUUCCUUUUCGACACUUCAAUUCGUGUGUUUAGUUGCCAAAUUUUCAUUUUGUUCCAAUUUGGUUGAUUGAAUUAGAUUGGUUUUGAGUUGGUUGUUACAGGACUGAUCCCAUUGCAAGGUAUGGGACUUGGAUCCCAUAUUGGUCAUAUAGGGGGCUAAUGCGAGGUUAUUAUAUAGGGCUAUGGGCUCUCCAUCCUUUGAGCUAGCCAUGGUCUUGUAUCAAUAAUAUCAGAGCCAACCUCGGAGUAGUGACCCACGGAGUUGAGCCGUAACCAAUGAGGACGUCGAUCCUUGAGUAGGGGCAAAUGUUAUAGGAUUAAUCCCAUUGCAAUGUAUGGGACUUGGAUCCUGCAUCGGUCAUAUGGGGGGCUGAUGACCAGAUGUGGGGUUCAUAUAGGAUUAUGGGCUCUCCUCUUGGUAAAUCCCAAAUGCCUUGAUCAUGAACCAAUGGAGCGUGUUCCUCUUGGUAAAUCUCUUACAAUUAUAUAUAUAGGGAAUGGAUCACGUGAAAACAAACCUUAUAAUGAAAAUUGAAAACAACUAAUUCUAACCGUCGAAUAUAAUCUGACGGAUAAUAUAUCAUUUAACAUUUUUAGCUUUCGAUCGUCAUUUUAUAACUCUCACAUUUUUAUUUUCUCUCUCCUACAGUCCUACCUAUCUGCAGAACUCUCUCUUCUGAUUCUCUCUCCUAAAAAAAAUUUGGUAAUUCUAUCUCAUUUUUUCAUGCAAUUUGAUCUUGCCAUUAAAUUUGAUUUUUUCAUUCAGCUAGCAAUUUUGAUUCAGAAUCAAUUUAGUUGAAGGUAAAAGAAACAUAGUGGAGCUGGUUAUGGUCUAAGAAAAGGAUGAAAUGAGUUCCGGACUAAACAAUGAAGUAAUUGAAGGGAGGAUUCUGCCUUGGCACUGAAAUUGUGAAUGGAGGUAAUAUGAUCCUGAUAAAUGAGUGCCCUGCAUAAGCUAACUCCAAAUAUAUAAGGUAAUAGUACGUACUAAUAUUAUCUCUGUGGUCUAAUUGUUCUAUCGAUAAUCACCUAAGUUACAAGAGCUUUUGUAUAGUUUGAUGUUUUAUUCUCCUUAAUUUGGUUGAAUGUUUAAUAUGAGCCCACAUAACUUAUGUAUCAUUUGGAUGCCAAUAAUUAGACUGACAUAGAGGCUUGCUAAGUUCGGUUCCAUAGAGGCUUUUCAGUUUCUUGAAAGCCUAGAUUACCUAGAUAUAUGGGGUGACAAGAAACUUGGGAGCCUAGGAGAAGCUGGAAAUGUUUUCUAUGGUUGUUCAUCUUCCCUAAAAUCAUUGCAAAUUCUCAAUCGCUAUACUUUGCGGAAUGUUGUGCCUGGUGGAUAGGAGCAUCUCACGACCUUGGAGAAUUUAGAGACAAGGGAUUGUAAUAAUAUGAGUUUAUUGAUCUCAGUUUUUUACGCGGGCGAAGUUUUUGGCAUGUAGAAAGCCUAUUAGCUCAAUUGGUCGAGUGCUGUGUAAUCACGGGAUGUAGAUUCGAAUCCUACAUAGGUUUAAAUUUAAACAAAGUGUCUCUUUUUAAUAUGUGGUGACCUUUUUUUAAUACCACUUUACUUUUUUACAUAGUGACCUCUAUGUUGUCAAAUUAAUAUAGUUACCCUAUUUUUGUAUA